Suricata suricatta (meerkat) is the source of this 422-nucleotide long non-coding RNA. RefSeq lists it as uncharacterized. Lineage: Eukaryota; Metazoa; Chordata; Mammalia; Carnivora; Herpestidae. The record is from RefSeq and is a predicted model, not a curated record. The transcript has 3 exons.
AGAGCCCUCUCAUCAGUCAGGCAGGGUUUUUAUUACGAGCCAGCGUUCUCAGCUGUCAGCACAACCCCGCUCUACAGAGACAACUCCGUGACAGAGGGAGCCUCCAACACUGUCCUUCCCACAAGACAGCCCAUCACAUUCUCUGAGCCAGACUGGGGCUGAGGGAGAAAGGAGUACUUCUUGAGGCUGAAGUUUAGUGAAGACAAGAAAGUGAUAUAUGAUAUCCAACCGAGGCUUAUGUCCAACAUGAAGAGAGUCAUGACCUGUGGAAACAGGAAUGGAGCUACAGACUCCACACCAGGUUUAUUUCCAAGUAGUGCCAAACCAACAGCUGAUAAGUAAAAAGAAACUACCGCUGUAUACGAGGCUUACCGGUUUAUCAACUACUUGAUCCGUACUUAUUGAUUUUGCUGUUUUGGGGA